GUUGCUGUUUGAGAACUCUGAAUAUUAAAUAGUUGCCAGAAGAUCAGGAAAAGAAUGGCAAUUUGAAGCAUCAAGGAGUCAGUGAAUUUGUGAGCUCCUGGAUUCUUGAACACCUCCAAAUAUCUUCCAGCUAUGCCUCUUGGAACAUUACCCUGAAGUCUCCCUCUUUCUCUUGUGUGCACCAUGUUGUGCCUGUUUCUGUUGUUUUUGACAUGUGCUUAAUCAACCAUCA
This is a long non-coding RNA of Symphalangus syndactylus (siamang), 232 nucleotides long. RefSeq lists it as uncharacterized. NCBI's taxonomy places the organism in Eukaryota, Metazoa, Chordata, Mammalia, Primates, Hylobatidae. The record is from RefSeq and is a predicted model, not a curated record.